ACGAGUUGCCUAAAUCUGUUGGUGAGGGUGUGGUGAGCGUCGGAUGAACGCACCCGAGACGCUCUUUCUGAUUUUUGUUUUUGUGUUUUUCCUAAGUUUUUUGCUGAUUUUUCAGCGGCCUCCGGAGCCGUAGGUCAUAGGUUCGAAUCCUAUCGCGCGUACCA
RNAcentral lists this transfer RNA (164 nucleotides) under Candidatus Omnitrophota bacterium. RNAcentral describes it as "tRNA-Arg". The record is from RNAcentral. Lineage: Bacteria; Pseudomonadati; Candidatus Omnitrophota.